This is a long non-coding RNA of Cimex lectularius (bed bug), 479 nucleotides long. RefSeq lists it as uncharacterized. The transcript has 2 exons. The record is from RefSeq and is a predicted model, not a curated record. Lineage: Eukaryota; Metazoa; Arthropoda; Insecta; Hemiptera; Cimicidae.
AUUGAGUUAAAACUAAUAGAAACUUUAUAAAAAAGUGAUUUAAGUUCGAUACACUCAAAGAACCCGCGAAAUCAAGUUAAACAGAUGAUUCAGAUCACCCGAGGGCCAUCGAUUGACAGAAUUCUUCAUACACAGGAGCUUAAAUUAAACAAUAAAAAAGAUUAAUAAAUUGCAAGAUGUAUCGUAGACUGCAAAAUUUUUGUCUAACGAAGAACGGAGAGAAAGAAGAAAAAUUGAACAAAAAAAAGGAUUAAAUUAAACAAAAAACAAACGAAGGAAUUAAGAUUAGCAAUUCGUUGAAUCUAUUGGCCUUUUCUCAUUGCAAGAAACAAGGACAAUUACUUUUUCUUUUCUCCCCCUAUUCCUUUCCUAUUUCUUAAACUUUUAUUAAACGAAAUGUUUUUUUUAUGUUAAUAUGUUGCCACUGUAUGUAACAUUAUAAGCGAGGAAAGCUCAGUAAAAGCCAGUGUUAUAUUCUA